Long non-coding RNA from Equus caballus (horse), 1851 nucleotides. Lineage: Eukaryota; Metazoa; Chordata; Mammalia; Perissodactyla; Equidae. The record is from Ensembl.
CUUCAGUCCACAAAGAGAGGAGGAAGGGAGGGGAGGAGCUGAGAUCGGCAGUUAAGUACAGUGUAAGAGGUGUAGGUAUGAGCUGGAAGGCUGUGCCUGGGGUUCAGAUGCGAGCCUGUGCUUCUCAGGAGAAUUGCUGAUGGAUGCCCCUGACUGGGUUGGGAGAAGCUGGGCAGGAGUAGAGGGAAAGAACUGAUGCGACCCAGGUGGUUACAGGAAGGAGGUAAAGGAAGCUAGAAGGUUAAGGGGGGCGGAGUCACUUUCUAUGAGCAACAAAGGGAAAUCUGGGAGUGCAGGAACCUGGAAGGUCAUGUGGUAUAGAAAGGGAAGAGAGACAACUCUGAAAACUGUAAAACAAGCUGCCGCUGUGGUCUGAAUCAAGUCCUUUAGAAGCUCGCUGAGAAAUCUUCUCUUCCUUCCCAAGUCUCCUUCAAUCCCAUAGAGAACCAACACAAGAGGGAAAGAGGAAGAGUCGGAGCAGAGUCUCUUCCUAAAAGCCACCAUCUGUGGGCGUGAGUGUCUUUGGUCCACGGAUUUCUCCUAAGACCCAUGAUGAUUUUGAUGAGAGAGUAUUGAUUUUAUGGUUCAUUGCCUCCAUGGAAGAUGCUGAGACACGUUUCAUGAGAGUCGUCAAAGGGUCCCAAAGGAUCGAGCAACUUGUGGUCUGAAGCUCUGCUUUGAGGGGACCCAUCACACAAAAUGCUUGUACAACUGUAUGCAGCAGCCUGGACCGUAACCUCUGACCCCAUCUGCUUCAGGUUCGCCUUAAAGAGACCCAUUUGUCGUGGGCGCUUUACAAGAUACACAGCCACUUCACAUUUCUGAGUUCCAGCAUCCUCUUUUAAAUUGGAAGAUUUAAGACAAAAUAAAAGAAGGAGGUGGAGAAGAAGAAAGGACAGAGACUAUAUGUGGACUGCAAAGUUUAAAAUAUUUACUAGCUGGCCCCUUAUGGAAAACGUUUGCUGAGCCUGGAGCUACAGGGGAGAGAAAAGUUAACUGGAGGCCGAGGACAAUGGUUCCUUCUCUUUGCUCUUUAGGCUAGCAAGCCAGAUGUGUCAACAGGUUCUCUUUGACUGGCAUUCACAUGUCACUCAAUCAGAAAGGAGUUUAAAUUUUUACUAGCUUAUACCAACCCCACCCAGCGAAAUUAAGUAUGAGGAAGAGUUUGCUGAAACACUGCGCCAGAACCCCUAAGUCAGGACACUCGGAGGCUGUUGACCUUGACAAAUUGAAAUGGCAAGCAAUAGGAUAUAUUGGAGUAUAUGAGGAAGCCAUUUGGUGUAAACCUAAUUCGGCCUGACUUUGUUUUCCCAAAAGGGCCUGACUGUGGCCGUUGAGCACACAUUGUAUAUCUGCUUUAAAACAUUUCCUAUGGUAAGAACAAAUGGCCUUAAGAUAAAGGUGCAACUUCCCCCCAUAUUGGCAUUUCCUUAAGGAUAAGCGUCUUUCCUUAGGCUAGGAACUGAUUGCUGCGCUCACCUUUGACCACCCAGCUCACCUGUGACCACCCAGCUCGAGACAACAGACCUGCCACCCUGCUGUGUUCACCGAGACAGCAGACCUACCUGCUGUUUCCAUCAAUCGCUGUGCCGACAGAGCAGUCUCGCAACUGUUGUAAAAAGGACAUUUCAAUCAUAUGUGAAACAUCCUGUUUGGGGGUGUAUAACUACUCUGUGCAUCUCACUUCUUUGGUGCCCUUUCUUCCUUCGGGAAGAAAGGCCCCGGGCCAUGGUCCUCAGAUUUUAGCUCAGAAUAAACUCACCCAAAUUUUCAUUUAUAGAUUGGUUAUGGGUUAUUUUCGUCAACAACAUCAAUCAUGCUAUGAACUGGACUUUUCAGAAAUAUAAGAAG